AGCGAACGCUGGCGGCAGGCCUAACACAUGCAAGUCGAACGAACCUUUCGGGGUUAGUGGUGGACGGGUGAGUAACACGUGGGAACGUGCCUUUAGGUUCGGAAUAACUCAGGGAAACUUGUGCUAAUACCGAAUGUGCCCUUCGGGGGAAAGAUUUAUCGCCUUUAGAGCGGCCCGCGUCUGAUUAGCUAGUUGGUUGAGGUAAUGGCUCACCAAGGCGACGAUCAGUUGCUGGUCUGAGAGGAUGAUCAGCCACAUUGGGACUGAGACACGGCCCAAACUCCUACGGGAGGCAGCAGUGGGGAAUCUUGCGCAAUGGGCGAAAGCCUGACGCAGCCAUGCCGCGUGAAUGAUGAAGGUCUUAGGAUUGUAAAAUUCUUUCACCGGGGACGAUAAUGACGGUACCCGGAGAAGAAGCCCCGGCUAACUUCGUG
Molecule: ribosomal RNA, 434 nt
Filed under: uncultured bacterium
Lineage: Bacteria
Description: partial 16S ribosomal RNA
Rfam family: Bacterial small subunit ribosomal RNA
Source: RNAcentral